This is a long non-coding RNA of Ruditapes philippinarum (Manila clam), 932 nucleotides long. RefSeq lists it as uncharacterized. The record is from RefSeq and is a predicted model, not a curated record. NCBI's taxonomy places the organism in Eukaryota, Metazoa, Mollusca, Bivalvia, Venerida, Veneridae. The transcript has 3 exons.
UAUUACCCUAAUAAAGUUAGAAAAAUAAAUGCACAAUUUAAUAGAAACAAUUUAAAUUUAAGAACAAAUGUAAUUGUUAUGCACUUAUAUUUAUUUAUUAAUUGAUGAUGAAUUAAUUAUUAUUAUGUACAUGUAUCUCUAUUGAAGUAUAUAUAAUUUAUAUAUUCAUCCUGUGUAGAUGUAACUUAUGUAUUAUAUAGUGAUUAAUUUCUGGAACAUUCAAAUUAGCAUCAGCCACAACGUAAAUAUUUAUGACCCCUCAAGUGGAACCUGCUGUUUUCAUAACUACCAAAGUUAAACUCACCUAUCUGAUAUAAGAGAAUAGAAAGAGGUAAAGCAGGUUUACAACAAACUAUAUUACACUGUAGCUCCCAAGUAACUUAAUACCCUUGCAGAACAAAUCACAGGUCAGAACACUCCUUCCAGGCGGGUCAUUUGAACAGAAGCAUUGGAAGAAAAUGUUUAUUAGUGCCUAUUCUGCUUAAAAGUUAUAACUUGAAAUAUUAUGUUGGAGCAUUGGAAAUUAGACCAAAUGAGUUUAAACUGGACAAAUUUACAAGAGUUUUCUGGAAAUAUGAACUUUUAAACAUGUGUAUUUCAUGAUUCAGUUAAAAUGGAGGGAACUACAUGUAUAUAACCAUUUCUAACAGUUGCAAACUUUCAAGUCUUGGAGUCACAUGAGAUGUUUCAACUCAAAGGAUGUCAGAUGAGGGAAAAGUGAUAAAUGUACUGUUGAAUACAGAAUGCUUACAAAACCAUCCUGGACCAACUGCAGAGCAAGGUUAUUGGCAUAACCAGCUACAGUAAGAAGGCCGUUGUUCUAUUCCGCUUUUUGUAUAAAGAGGAGGAAUAUGCCGGAAUAUCAUUGACAGGGAAAGCAUCCAAAAGUGGCGAAAAAAGGCCACCUGUUUGACCAAGAAAAGUUGACAGGA